GACGAACGCUGGCGGCGUGCCUAAUACAUGCAAGUAGAACGCUGAAGGAGGAGCUUGCUCUUCUGGAUGAGUUGCGAACGGGUGAGUAACGCGUAGGUAACCUGCCUGGUAGCGGGGGAUAACUAUUGGAAACGAUAGCUAAUACCGCAUAACAGUAGAUGUUGCAUGACAUUUGCUUAAAAGGUGCACUUGCACCACUACCAGAUGGACCUGCGUUGUAUUAGCUAGGUGGUGGGGUAACGGCUCACCAAGGCGACGAUACAUAGCCGACCUGAGAGGGUGAUAGGCCACACUGGGACGGAGACACGGCCCAGACUCCUACGGGAGGCAGCAGUAGGGAAUCUUCGGGAAUGGACGGAAGGCUGACCGAGCAACGACGCGUGAGUGAAGAAGGUUGUCGGAUCGUAAAGCUCGGUUGUAAGAGAAGAACGAGUGUGAGAGUGGAAAGGUCACACUGUGACGGUAUCGGACCAGAAAGGGACGGCUAACUACGUG
This 495-nucleotide ribosomal RNA is filed under the name uncultured bacterium. Its description in RNAcentral is "partial 16S ribosomal RNA". It matches the Rfam family "Bacterial small subunit ribosomal RNA", at positions 28 to 507 of the family's 1533-position model. The record is from RNAcentral.